GCCUGGCUGGUUCAGUCGGUGGAACGUGUGACUCUUGAUCUCGAGGUUGUGAGUUCAAGCCCCAUGUGGGGCA
This 73-nucleotide transfer RNA is filed under the name Mustela putorius furo (domestic ferret). It matches the Rfam family "tRNA". From Rfam's summary of the family: Transfer RNA (tRNA) molecules are approximately 80 nucleotides in length. Lineage: Eukaryota; Metazoa; Chordata; Mammalia; Carnivora; Mustelidae. The record is from Rfam by way of RNAcentral.